AAAGGCAAUCCCAGCCCAGACACGUGGGUUGGAGCAGCGUCGCGUUUCUGGGCAAUUGCUCCUGAGACCCAACAGGCAGCAACGGUCCCAAGGUCUUUCUGCCCCCGAUAACAGAAAAUCUCUUUUUCGUCUUAAAAAAAAAAAAAAAAAAAAAAAAAGCCUGUGGAAGACUCAGCAGAACCCAGGAAGCGCAGAAUUGGGAGAAAAGUCUUUGGCUGGGGCUGUUUCAAGUCUCUGGUUCAAUGGGCUGCUCGAAGCCAGGACUGGGUAAUUCUUUCCAGACGUCUUGACUUCUCCUUCCCCGCCGUUGUUGCCCUUCUGCCUCCUCCAACUUAAGGGGGUCUUAACAAGAUCUUCUGAGGGGUGGACUUCUUUGGAACUCGACAGGACCUUGAAGACUGGGUUCUUAGUCCUUAUCACAUAUAUGGGCUAUAAUGAAUAAGUCUAAACAGAAAAGUCGAAUAAACUGGAAAUGAUGCUUUCAUCACGUCGCACAAGAAAAACACAUUUGUUGUUUCUCGCCUCUUGUAAUUCAUGACCCAUAAGACAAAAGUAAAAUGUUCUCUGACUGCAAAUG
Molecule: long non-coding RNA, 577 nt
Organism: Homo sapiens (human)
Lineage: Eukaryota; Metazoa; Chordata; Mammalia; Primates; Hominidae
Gene: HAS2-AS1
Product: HAS2 antisense RNA 1
Source: Ensembl